RNAcentral lists this ribosomal RNA (545 nucleotides) under Phymorhynchus buccinoides. RNAcentral describes it as "partial 16S rRNA". It matches the Rfam family "Bacterial large subunit ribosomal RNA", at positions 1796 to 2620 of the family's 2925-position model. Lineage: Eukaryota; Metazoa; Mollusca; Gastropoda; Neogastropoda; Raphitomidae. The record is from RNAcentral.
UCGCCUGUUUAUCAAAAACAUGGCUUCCCGAUUUUAAUUUAUGUGAAGUCGUACCUGCCCAGUGAAAUUUUAACGGCCGCGGUACUCUGACCGUGCAAAGGUAGCAUAAUAAUUUGCCUUAUAAUUGAAGGCUGGAAUGAAUGGUUUGUCAAGGAUAAAACUGUCUCUAUAAAAUUUUAUAGAAUUUUAUUUUUAGGUGAAAAAGCCUAAAUUUCAUUAAAAGACAAGAAGACCCUAUCGAGCUUUAAAAAACUUAAUAAAUAUUUACAACUAAUUAGAAGUUUAAUUAUAAAAAAUUUUGGUUGGGGCAACCUAGGAGUAAAUAAAGCCUCCUUUUUUGAAAAAACUAUUUUGUUAGGAUCCAAAAAUUUUGAUCAGAAGAAAUAGUUACCGUAGGGAUAACAGCAUUAUUUUUUUUGAGAGCUCUUAUCGAAAAAAAAGUUUGUGACCUCGAUGUUGGACCAGAAUAUCCUGAAGAUGCAGAAGUCUUCAAGGGUUGGUCUGUUCGACCAUUAAAAUUCUACGUGAUCUGAGUUCAGACCGGA